RNAcentral lists this ribosomal RNA (445 nucleotides) under uncultured bacterium. RNAcentral's name for it is "partial 16S ribosomal RNA". It matches the Rfam family "Bacterial small subunit ribosomal RNA", at positions 354 to 796 of the family's 1533-position model. The record is from RNAcentral.
GUGAGGAAUAUUGGACAAUGGGCGCAAGCCUGAUCCAGCCAUGCCGCGUGCAGGAAGACGCAUCUAUGGCGUGUAAACUGCUUUUGUACGGGAAGAAACACUCCCUCGUGAGGGAGCUUGACGGUACCGUAAGAAUAAGGAUCGGCUAACUCCGUGCCAGCAGCCGCGGUAAUACGGAGGAUCCAAGCGUUAUCCGGAAUCAUUGGGUUUAAAGGGUCCGUAGGCGGUUUAAUAAGUCAGUGGUGAAAGCCCAUCGCUCAACGAUGGAACGGCCAUUGAUACUGUUAGACUUGAAUUACAAGGAAGUAACUAGAAUAUGUAGUGUAGCGGUGAAAUGCUUAGAUAUUACAUGGAAUACCAAUUGCGAAGGCAGGUUACUACUUGUGGAUUGACGCUGAUGGACGAAAGCGUGGGGAGCGAACAGGAUUAGAAACCCUGGUAGUCC